UCACAUCAAGGUUUGUGAACUAUUCCAUCGCUUAUCACCCAACAGGGAUUGCAGCGUAUCUUUGGUGGUGAAGGCCAGUGAAGUUCCUCUUGCUUAUAAGAUAAAGGCAAUAAACAAGGACAAGAUAUGUAUGGACUUCCUAUCAGUGAC
Molecule: long non-coding RNA, 150 nt
Organism: Alosa alosa (allis shad)
Lineage: Eukaryota; Metazoa; Chordata; Actinopteri; Clupeiformes; Clupeidae
Exons: 3
Source: RefSeq, a predicted model, not a curated record